AGUAACACGUAGGUAACCUGCCCUCAGGAUUGGGAAUACUCCCGGGAAACCGGGCACAAUACCGAAUGCUAUUCCAUGGUGAAAUUCCGCGGAAUGAAAGUUGCGAGCAAUCGUGACACCUGAGGAGGGGCCUGCGGCCUAUCAGCUUGUUGGUGAGGUAACGGCUCACCAAGGCAAAGACGGGUAGCCGGACUGAGAGGUCGAUCGGCCACACUGGAACUGAGACACGGUCCAG
This 235-nucleotide ribosomal RNA is filed under the name uncultured bacterium. RNAcentral's name for it is "partial 16S ribosomal RNA". It matches the Rfam family "Bacterial small subunit ribosomal RNA", at positions 109 to 334 of the family's 1533-position model. The record is from RNAcentral.